Molecule: ribosomal RNA, 465 nt
Filed under: Vreelandella stevensii
Lineage: Bacteria; Pseudomonadati; Pseudomonadota; Gammaproteobacteria; Oceanospirillales; Halomonadaceae
Description: partial 16S ribosomal RNA
Rfam family: Bacterial small subunit ribosomal RNA
Source: RNAcentral
CCUACGGGGGGCUGCAGUGGGGAAUAUUGGACAAUGGGCGAAAGCCUGAUCCAGCCAUGCCGCGUGUGUGAAGAAGGCCUUCGGGUUGUAAAGCACUUUCAGUGGGGAAGAAAGCCUUGGGGCUAAUACCCUCGAGGAAGGACAUCGCCCACAGAAGAAGCACCGGCUAACUCCGUGCCAGCAGCCGCGGUAAUACGGAGGGUGCGAGCGUUAAUCGGAAUUACUGGGCGUAAAGCGCGCGUAGGCGGUCUGAUAAGCCGGUUGUGAAAGCCCCGGGCUCAACCUGGGAACGGCAUCCGGAACUGUCAGGCUAGAGUGCAGGAGAGGAAGGUAGAAUUCCCGGUGUAGCGGUGAAAUGCGUAGAGAUCGGGAGGAAUACCAGUGGCGAAGGCGGCCUUCUGGACUGACACUGACGCUGAGGUGCGAAAGCGUGGGUAGCAAACAGGAUUAGAUACCCGGGUAGUC